This 1679-nucleotide long non-coding RNA is filed under the name Canis lupus familiaris (dog). RNAcentral's name for it is "lncRNA (ENSCAFG00040025962.1)". Lineage: Eukaryota; Metazoa; Chordata; Mammalia; Carnivora; Canidae. The record is from RNAcentral.
CUUUUGGUUUAAAUAACCAUCAGUUAAAAUAUGACAAGUUUUUCUGUUAUCAUAUUUAUAGUCAUAUUAAUGGAAAUUCACUUUUUUACAGAAUUAUAUUGAUUUUGCAAGUUCCUAAAAGGCUCUUGGAAAGACGAGUAAUGGAAUGGAUGGAUACAUUGCCUUGUAGAUCAAUCAGUGAGAAUUUCAUGGAUUGUAAAGUGAGGACUAAUGUACCGAGCUCAUAAAAUUAUAUGAAGAGCCCUUGUGGACCCAUUCUGUUGAGGUGGGAGUGAAAAUAUGAGCAUGAAAACUGAAUAUUAUCUUGAGACUCUUUCCACGUGGCUCACUGCUUGUUCCAGGAUCAGACAAUUUCCAGGGGUUAUUGGAUUAAUCCAACUUGGAGUCAGGAUAUUUCAGACAAUGACUAAAGUGUGAGGUAGAAAAAUGCAUCAAGCAUAAAAUGGAGAAGACUAAAGUAAAUUAAAAUAAUGGAGAUAAACCCAGAAAUAUGGAUUUGGAGCAGUCAUGGGGACCCAUGAGCUUCAAUGGUGAGUAAAGUUUAAUACAACUGAAGUUUUCUCCAUGGGAAGGUUGCUUUAUCAUCUUUGUGCUUUAGUAAUAAUUUAGUAAACAUGUGUAAAAUCAAAUCAAAUAUAGAUAUACUGAAAAUAGGGAAUAUAAUUAGGAAGAUAUUUCCAUAGCCCCAUCAAAUAUGUGAAAAAAAAUUAAAUAUAUAAUAAAAUUGACACAACACACUAGAGUGGCAUGGGUAACAGUGAAGAAAAAACAUUCUGAGUGUUCUUGUCUCAGGGUCUGAGAAGUGCCAAUUUAGAAAUGGGAACACUGGAGAUUAUUGGAUUUGAUAGAUUUUAAAAGAAAAUGAUGGGCAGCCUGGGUGGCUCAGCGGUUUAGCGCUGCCUUGGGCCCAGGGCCUGAUCCUGGAGACCAGGGAUCGAGUCCCGCGUCGGACUUCCUGCAUGGAGCCUGCUUCUCCCUCUGCCUGUGUCUCUCAUGAAUAAAUAAAUAAAAUCUUUGAAAAAAUUAAAAAAUAAAAGAAAAUGAUGAAUUUAUGUUGGAGAUUGGCAGUUGGAGGUAACAGUGUGCUAUACAUGGAAAAGUUCCCUCUCAAGAGGUUAGAGAAAAGUUAGUGUGCGAAAUAUAGAUCACUUUUAUGAAUGUAGUGAUUGGAGGAGAUCCUCCUUGUGAAACAGUAGUAAGAAAAAGGAAAAUGGUAAUAUGAUAUUAGGGGAAUCUCAUUUAUAGAUCAGCAAGAGAAAUAUAAUCCAGAGAAACAAACUGAGGGUGAGAAUUCAGAAGCACUUCAAGAAACUGCCUUGACUCCAACUAGUCUGCCUGGAGCCUUUGAUGGCAGUUGCCCAGGUAUAAUUGAACUACAGUGAAUUGACCUGGACUUUACUUCAGACUUGAAUUCCUCAACCUAAUGUCACUCACAUUAUAUAAUGGGAUAUGGAUAAUGAGGUGCCUCCAAAGAACUUCGAGAUAAUAGAAACAUGUUUGCUUUUUAGAGUAAAGCAAAACAAAAAUCAACAUAUUGAGAAUGGAAAGUAUAUUCUUUAGAUCUAUUUAGAAAAAUGUAGUUAAAGGAUAAAUGGAUUGGCUUGUACAGAGAAGGUCCUUUUAGAGAGGCAGAUUUUGUAUUUUCCAGCUCCGGUGUUGUCCAGGAUAGAGAUGCAACA